RNAcentral lists this long non-coding RNA (796 nucleotides) under Homo sapiens (human). RNAcentral's name for it is "HSALNT0294324". Lineage: Eukaryota; Metazoa; Chordata; Mammalia; Primates; Hominidae. The record is from RNAcentral.
UCCCUUUCACCGUCAUCCAUGAGAAGACACAGUGUUCCAUCCAGAGGAUGUAGCAUCAAGGCGUCAUCUUAAAAGCAGAGAAAAGACUCUUACUUGACACCAGAUGCCAGUGCAUUGAUCUUGGACUUCCCAGCCUCUAGAACUGUAAACAGCCCUGGGACAAAGAACAGACUACGGGUAUUGCCUUCUUAAUCAACAAUAAAGUAUUAGUUGGCUUCCAGGCAGACACCACUGACUUUCAAGAGAAAGGCACGGGAGUAAGGAAGUAAAGAAUUCAGGUGCUGCUUGAAAAUACAACAAACUGUCUUCAGAAUACUUUUAUGUGUUGUUGAAAGAAAGCACUGCAGCUAAUAUAGCUACAAAGGAGAAACAGUUAUUCUUAAAUGUCAUCUAUUUGCUGGACCUGAACAGGAAUUCACUAUGGAGCUCAUACAACUACCACCUUCAGCUAUUAAUCAAGGAGUCAUUCAACUGAGAAAGGGGAGAUUGAGAUGUUGAAUCAUUUCUCAUUCUGUGAAGUCUACCAGAAUAACCCAUAAAGCAAAUAUCAACCUAUUUCAAUUAGAAAAAUGAAAAAUACUGAUACAGCAGACGAAUUCUGGAACUAACACUUCCACAAAUCAUUGAUAAUCCAUUUUCCAACUUCUUCAAAUUCCAGACCAUCAACAAGCUAUUCAAAACAAUAAAUGUUAAUAGUUUUGGUGGAGUUAAGCAGCAGAAGUUAAAAGCAUUGUGGAAGACAGUAUGGUGAUUCCUCAAGGAUCUAGAAGCGGAAAUACCAUUUGACCCAGCAAUC